RNAcentral lists this long non-coding RNA (416 nucleotides) under Elaeis guineensis (African oil palm). RNAcentral's name for it is "long non-coding RNA (EGUI_LNC066708)". Lineage: Eukaryota; Viridiplantae; Streptophyta; Magnoliopsida; Arecales; Arecaceae. The record is from RNAcentral.
UCAAUUCAUAAUAUUUCUUAUAUCAUAAUUCUUCAUAAAUCAUAUUUCAUAUUCUAAUUUCGAUAAUAAAAUAUAUAAUCAUGUAAUAUCAAAAUCAAUCAAUAUAAUACAUCAUGGAAUCAAUAUGUUCAAUCAUGCUUCAUCAUAAUAUUUCAAAUAAGAUAUUUUCAUAACAAAAUACCAUUCAUCCAAUUCAUGCAUCAUUUCACAAAUCAUGUCAGAAAAAUAUAUUAUAAUUUACUGAUAAAUCGAGAAAAAAUGAAACAUUACUUACUUCGAAUGUAUUCCAAUAAAUCCACAUAAUUCUAUAAAAUUUUUUUCAAAAAUUAUGUUCGUAGAUCAUAUCGCGAUAUCCCAUGAUCAAACAUCCACAAUCCUAUAUAGAAUCAAUUUCAAUAAUUAGAAAGAAUACGAAU